Molecule: long non-coding RNA, 924 nt
Filed under: Brassica napus (rape)
Lineage: Eukaryota; Viridiplantae; Streptophyta; Magnoliopsida; Brassicales; Brassicaceae
Description: long non-coding RNA (BNAP_LNC020470)
Source: RNAcentral
AUACACGACUCAUAUUCAAGAAAUCGCCGGUAAAAACUCGAAAAAGGCAAAAAGCUAUGUUUAUGAUAUUAUAUAUCGUCAAGUGUGUGUAUGUGUGUCUGACUGUGUGCGAGAGAGUGAGAAUAUGCUUAGAGAAAAAGGAAAGAAAAUAGUUUUUCAAAUCCAAGAAGAAGAUAAGACAAAAUUAUUUAAAGUUCUUCUUGCAAAUUAAAGCUUUCUUAAACCAGAAAAUGGCAAAAAGGAAGCUUUAAUAUCAUGAAAACAUAUCAAAAUUAGUUGGCAUAUCUACCGGAAUAUUCCACACUACUAGUAUACUAGCAUCCAGUUGUGAUCUAUUCAUAUUUUGCCUUUAUAUAUAAAUAUGUGUGUUUAUCAUCAUUUAUAUUGUAGUCAUUUUCGUUAACUAUAUGGUGAUCUUUAAUAAAACAUACGCGCAUCUUAUUUAGAAAAUAGCAAAUGUCUACGUACGUUGAUAAGAAUAAUAUUCAUCUACUCUGCUAUAAGUUUCCUAAUCCAUAAUCCAUGAAAUAUAUAUAGACUAUGUCUACGUACGUUGAAUAAGAUUUAAAUGUGUGUUUUAAGUAUUUUUCUUAACCCACACGCAUUGAUCAGUUAUUUUUCAUUGAAGAAUACGAGUUUACAAAAUGUGUGGACAAUUAGCAAAUGAUUUUUACUCAUACCACCGUGAUCACCGCCGUAUUAUCCUUUCGGCCCAAGCUUACCUAUGCUAGCGUGUCACUUGUAUUAAAAAAAUGUCAUUUAACAUUUUCUGUCUCUACUCUUUAACAUUAAAUAACGUUACCUAAUCAAUAGAUUAAUCCACGUCUUAUGUGCUGGGUCUCCACUAUUUUUAAGUGGAGAGGCUUUUUCUUGGUCCGUCUCAAGCUCAUGUUACUAUUGUAUACACCAUGGUAUCAAAACAAA